GCGGGCAUAGUUCAGUGGUAGAAUGUCUCCUUCCCAAGGAGAAGAUCGCGAGUUCGAGUCUCGUUGCCCGCU
RNAcentral lists this transfer RNA (72 nucleotides) under Fusobacterium sp. CAG:815. It matches the Rfam family "tRNA". From Rfam's summary of the family: Transfer RNA (tRNA) molecules are approximately 80 nucleotides in length. Lineage: Bacteria; Fusobacteriati; Fusobacteriota; Fusobacteriia; Fusobacteriales; Fusobacteriaceae. RNAcentral also lists the same sequence under 3 other names. The record is from Rfam by way of RNAcentral.